This 155-nucleotide ribosomal RNA is filed under the name Origanum majorana. RNAcentral describes it as "5.8S ribosomal RNA". It matches the Rfam family "5.8S ribosomal RNA". Rfam says of the family: 5.8S ribosomal RNA (5.8S rRNA) is a component of the large subunit of the eukaryotic ribosome. The record is from RNAcentral. Lineage: Eukaryota; Viridiplantae; Streptophyta; Magnoliopsida; Lamiales; Lamiaceae.
CUCGGCAACGGAUAUCUCGGCUCUCGCAUCGAUGAAGAACGUAGCGAAAUGCGAUACUUGGUGUGAAUUGCAGAAUCCCGUGAACCAUCGAGUCUUUGAACGCAAGUUGCGCCCGAAGCAAUUAGGCUGAGGGCACGUCUGCCUGGGCGUCACGC